Molecule: transfer RNA, 84 nt
Filed under: Ignavibacteriota bacterium
Lineage: Bacteria; Pseudomonadati; Ignavibacteriota
Also listed under: 3 other names
Description: Ignavibacteriae bacterium (activated sludge metagenome) tRNA-Leu
Rfam family: tRNA
About the family: Transfer RNA (tRNA) molecules are approximately 80 nucleotides in length. Their secondary structure includes four short double-helical elements and three loops (D, anti-codon, and T loops).
Source: RNAcentral
GCGGAAGUGGCGGAAUUGGCAGACGCACCAUCUUGAGGGGGUGGCGCCCAUCGUGGCGUGCGGGUUCAAGUCCCGCCUUCCGCA